AGAGUUUGAUCAUGGCUCAGGAUGAACGCUAGCGGGAGGCCUAACACAUGCAAGCCGAGCGGUAGAUUACUUUCGGGUAAUUGAGAGCGGCGUACGGGUGCGGAACACGUGUGCAACCUGCCUUUAUCAGGGGGAUAGCCUUUCGAAAGGGAAGAUUAAUACCCCAUAAAUAUAUUAUUCGGCAUCGGGUGAUAUUGAAAACUACGGUGGAUAGAGAUGGGCACGCGCAAGAUUAGCUAGUUGGUGAGGUAACGGCUCACCAAGGCGACGAUCUUUAGGGGGCCUGAGAGGGUGAUCCCCCACACUGGUACUGAGACACGGACCAGACUCCUACGGGAGGCAGCAGUGAGGAAUAUUGGACAAUGGGUGGAAGCCUGAUCCAGCCAUCCCGCGUGCAGGAAGACGGCCCUAUGGGUUGUAAACUGCUUUUAUCUGGGGAUAAACCUACUUACGUGUAAGUAGCUGAAGGUACCAGAAGAAUAAGCACCGGCUAACUCCGUGCCAGCAGCCGCGGUAAUACGGAGGGUGCAAGCGUUAUCCGGAUUUAUUGGGUUUAAAGGGUCCGUAGGCGGACUGAUAAGUCAGUGGUGAAAUCCGACAGCUUAACUGUCGAACUGCCAUUGAUACUGUUAGUCUUGAGUAAGGUUGAAGUGGCUGGAAUAAGUAGUGUAGCGGUGAAAUGCAUAGAUAUUACUUAGAACACCAAUUGCGAAGGCAGGUCACUAAGUCUUAACUGACGCUGAUGGACGAAAGCGUGGGGGAGCGAACAGGAUUAGAUACCCUGGUAGUCCACGCCGUAAACGAUGAUUACUCGUUUUUGGGUUUUAUGAUUCAGAGACUAAGCGAAAGUGAUAAGUAAUCCACCUGGGGAGUACGUUCGCAAGAAUGAAACUCAAAGGAAUUGACGG
RNAcentral lists this ribosomal RNA (908 nucleotides) under uncultured bacterium. RNAcentral describes it as "bacterial SSU rRNA". It matches the Rfam family "Bacterial small subunit ribosomal RNA", at positions 8 to 916 of the family's 1533-position model. The record is from RNAcentral.